This 429-nucleotide ribosomal RNA is filed under the name Bacillota bacterium. Its description in RNAcentral is "Firmicutes bacterium partial 16S ribosomal RNA". It matches the Rfam family "Bacterial small subunit ribosomal RNA", at positions 355 to 776 of the family's 1533-position model. Lineage: Bacteria; Bacillati; Bacillota. The record is from RNAcentral.
UAGGGAAUCUUCGGCAAUGGACGGAAGUCUGACCGAGCAACGCCGCGUGAGUGAAGAAGGUUUUCGGAUCGUAAAGCUCUGUUGUUAGAGAAGAACGUUGGUAGGAGUGGAAGAUCUACCAAGUGACGGUAACUAACCAGAAAGGGACGGCUAACUACGUGCCAGCAGCCGCGGUAAUACGUAGGUCCCGAGCGUUGUCCGGAGUUAUUGGGCGUAAAGCGAGCGCAGGCGGUUCUUUAAGUCUGAAGUUAAAGGCAGUGGCUUAACCAUUGUACGCUUUGGAAACUGGAGGACUUGAGUGCAGAAGGGGAGAGUGGAAUUCCAUGUGUAGCGGUGAAAUGCGUAGAUAUAUGGAGGAACACCGGUGGCGAACGCGGCUCUCUGGUCUGUAACUGACGCUGAGGCUCGAAAGCGUGGGGAGCAAACAGG